RNAcentral lists this ribosomal RNA (253 nucleotides) under uncultured bacterium. Its description in RNAcentral is "partial 16S ribosomal RNA". It matches the Rfam family "Bacterial small subunit ribosomal RNA", at positions 524 to 776 of the family's 1533-position model. The record is from RNAcentral.
UACGAGGGGGGCAAGCGUUGUUCGGAAUUAUUGGGCGUAAAGGGCGCGUAGGCGGUGCGGUAAGUCACCUGUGAAAACUCUGGGCUCAACUCAGAGCCUGCAGGCGAAACUGCCGUGCUUGAGUGUGGGAGAGGUGCGUGGAAUUCCCGGUGUAGCGGUGAAAUGCGUAGAUAUCUGGAGGAACACCGGUGGCGAAGGCGGUUCUCUGGGCCUUACCUGACGCUGAGGAGCGAAAGCGUGGGGAGCGAACAGG